RNAcentral lists this ribosomal RNA (40 nucleotides) under Pilobolus kleinii. RNAcentral's name for it is "partial 18S ribosomal RNA". Lineage: Eukaryota; Fungi; Mucoromycota; Mucoromycetes; Mucorales; Pilobolaceae. The record is from RNAcentral.
AAAGAACCCUCCCGUAGGUGAACCUGCGGAAGGAUCCUUU